This 182-nucleotide non-coding RNA is filed under the name Thermosipho melanesiensis. Lineage: Bacteria; Thermotogati; Thermotogota; Thermotogae; Thermotogales; Fervidobacteriaceae. RNAcentral also lists the same sequence under 1 other name. The record is from RNAcentral.
AAAUAAUAAAACAUCUAGGGUACCAAGCGGUUUAAAAGGGAACUCCGGUGAAAGUCCGGGGCUGCCCAGCAACCGUAACCGGGGACGAAAUCCACAAAAUGCCACUGGGAAUUUUUCCUGGGAAGGCGUGGAGAGUAGGUUGAUCCGGGAGCCGGGAGACCUGCCUUAGAUGUAUGGACUCC